UACGGGGGGUGCGAGCGUUGUCCGGAAUCCCUGGGCGUAAAGGGCGCGUAGGUGGCGUGAUCAGGGUGUGGUGAAAGCUCGACGCUCAACGUCGAGUCGGCCAUAGAGACUGGAGGGCUCGAGCACUGUAGGGGCAGAUGGAAUUCCGGGUGUAGCGGUGGAAUGCGUAGAGAUCCGAAAGAACACCGGUGGCGAAGGCGGUCUGCUGGGCAGUUGCUGACACUGAGGCGCGACAGCGUGGGGAGCAAACAGG
This 253-nucleotide ribosomal RNA is filed under the name uncultured bacterium. RNAcentral's name for it is "partial 16S ribosomal RNA". It matches the Rfam family "Bacterial small subunit ribosomal RNA", at positions 524 to 776 of the family's 1533-position model. The record is from RNAcentral.